This 468-nucleotide ribosomal RNA is filed under the name uncultured bacterium. RNAcentral's name for it is "partial 16S ribosomal RNA". It matches the Rfam family "Bacterial small subunit ribosomal RNA", at positions 28 to 507 of the family's 1533-position model. The record is from RNAcentral.
GACGAACGCUGGCGGCGUGCUUAACACAUGCAAGUCGAACGGAAAGGCCCUGCUUUUGUGGGGUGCUCGAGUGGCGAACGGGUGAGUAACACGUGAGUAACCUGCCCUUGACUGUGGGAUAACUUCAGGAAACGGGGGCUAAUACGGGAUAGGAGCUCCUGCUGCAUGGUGGUGGUUGGAAAGUUUCGGCGGUGGGGGAUGGACUCGCGGCUUAUCAGCUUGUUGGUGGGGUAGUGGCUUACCAAGGCUUUGACGGGUAGCCGGCCUGAGAGGGUGACCGGCCACAUUGGGACUGAGAUACGGCCCAGACUCCUACGGGAGGCAGCAGUGGGGAAUAUUGCACAAUGGGCGGAAGCCUGAUGCAGCAACGCCGCGUGCGGGAUGACGGCCUUCGGGUUGUAAACCGCUUUCGCCUGUGACGAAGCGUGAGUGACGGUAAUGGGUAAAGAAGCACCGGCUAACUACGUG